Molecule: long non-coding RNA, 3107 nt
Filed under: Drosophila guanche
Lineage: Eukaryota; Metazoa; Arthropoda; Insecta; Diptera; Drosophilidae
Source: RNAcentral
UCCUUAUGGACCACCCUCCCCUUAAUUAGAACUGCCGUUCCAAGGUCCGCUUGUACCCGUUCUUCUGAGUACAGCGGGGUUAGCUUGUUCCCUAGUCUUUUGUUAUUCCUUGGGUAAACCUUUUCACCCACUUCAAAGACUCUGUUCUGCCUCGAGAUGUUAAACCUGUCGAUAUUGGCCUUUUGUGCCUUAUCAAUUCUGGUUCUAAUUGCUAACUUCAGAUCGUUGUUGCUUACAUGGAUUGCUUCUACAGGCUUCUGGUCUAUGACCGAAUGUAGUGUCCUGUUGUAUUCUACAGUGGCGCGCAUGAUUAGCUCGACGGUGUCCUCAAUCUUUUGGUCGAGUUUUAUGCACCUUGCUAUCUCUGCCAACGUGCUGUGAAAUCUCUCUACUUCCCCGUUGGAGCUACUAUGUAGAGGGGGUGAAUUUACGAUGUCGAUGCCAUAUUGGUUUUUAAGCAAAGAGGUAAUUGUUUCGGAGUUGAAGGAAGGCUCAUUGUCACAAUAUAUGGUCUUGGUAUUCGGGUAAAAAUUUAUCAAUUGUAUAAUGAGGGCUCGUACCUCUACUAUAGCCCUGGAAGAGAGGGGCUGUACGAUGGCAAACUUUGAGAACUUGUCGAUGCAGGUCAAAAAAAGUUUCUUGUCUGUGGAGAAUAUAUCAAUGUGCAGCAUUUCUCCGGCGUAUGACGGAACAGGGGUGACCCCCAGCUCUUGUUUUUUUGGGUGUCUGUUAUACUUUGCCUUGGUGCAGACUCUGCAGUUCAUAACCACCUCGUUAGCAAGUUUGGUCAUUUUCGGGAAAUAGUAGUCACGAAGGACCUGCUUAACAUUUUCUUGGGCUGCCCUAUGGGCGCGAUUGUGUUCGGCUGUAAUUAUUUCAGCCUGCUCGCUUGCAUCUGUGAUAUCGUUCACGAAGUUUUUGCAAUGCCAGAACUUGGUUGCGGGAAACUCCAGCACCAGAGCAUGUUGGAGGGUAGCUAAAGUCGGAAGAUCACAGUGGAUUGCAUUCACGACCUUGGAAUUGACCACCUCCUUUACUGACUUAAUUAGUGAGUCCUUAUCGUUGAAGUGAAUAAUGUGGCGGGUUUUUCCGCCGAAAAUUAUGAAGUUUCGCCGUAGAGGCUGGCUAGCUUCUUCUAGAAUUAUUUGGUUUCUGAAACAGUUGAGGGGCUUAUCCGUGGUUUCCACUGUGUAAGACAGAGAGAGCUCGCUGUGCACCGUGGCAGCAUCGGACUGAGGCUCUUCGUGUAGGUUAUUAAUGUUUUGUCUGGACAGGGCGUCGGCCACGAAGUUUUCCUUACCCGGUUUGUAGAACACCUUAGCGUUAUGUUCCUCUAUAAAGGCUUUCCACCGUUUGAUUUUGGCAUUUGUGUUCCUAUCGGACACAGCAAAUGUUAAGGGCUGGUGAUCGGUAAAGAUUCUUACUUCCUUGGUACCGUAUAAGUAAUUUUGUAACUUCCCUAUAGCCCAUACAAUUGCCAACAAUUCNUAUAAUGGGGGCUCGUACCUCUACUAUAGCCCUGGAAGAGAGGGGCUGUACGAUGGCAAACUUUGAGAACUUGUCGAUGCAGGUCAAAAAAAGUUUCUUGUCUGUGGAGAAUAUAUCAAUGUGCAGCAUUUCUCCGGCGUAUGACGGAACAGGGGUGACCCCCAGCUCUUGUUUUUUUGGGUGUCUGUUAUACUUUGCCUUGGUGCAGACUCUGCAGUUCAUAACCACCUCGUUAGCAAGUUUGGUCAUUUUCGGGAAAUAGUAGUCACGAAGGACCUGCUUAACAUUUUCUUGGGCUGCCCUAUGGGCGCGAUUGUGUUCGGCUGUAAUUAUUUCAGCCUGCUCGCUUGCAUCUGUGAUAUCGUUCACGAAGUUUUUGCAAUGCCAGAACUUGGUUGCGGGAAACUCCAGCACCAGAGCAUGUUGGAGGGUAGCUAAAGUCGGAAGAUCACAGUGGAUUGCAUUCACGACCUUGGAAUUGACCACCUCCUUUACUGACUUAAUUAGUGAGUCCUUAUCGUUGAAGUGAAUAAUGUGGCGGGUUUUUCCGCCGAAAAUUAUGAAGUUUCGCCGUAGAGGCUGGCUAGCUUCUUCUAGAAUUAUUUGGUUUCUGAAACAGUUGAGGGGCUUAUCCGUGGUUUCCACUGUGUAAGACAGAGAGAGCGCGCUGUGCACCGUGGCAGCAUCGGACUGAGGCUCUUCGUGUAGGUUAUUAAUGUUUUGUCUGGACAAGGCGUCGGCCACGAAGUUUUCCUUACCCGGUUUGUAGAACACCUUAGCGUUAUGUUCCUCUAUAAAGGCUUUCCACCGUUUGAUUUUGGCAUUUGUGUUCCUAUCGGACACAGCAAAUGUGAAGGGCUGGUGAUCGGUAAAGAUUCUUACUUCCUUGGUACCGUAUAAGUAAUUUUGUAACUUCCCUAUAGCCCAUACAAUUGCCAACAAUUCCCUUUCGUUUGUGGCGUAGUUUACUUCACAAUCUUUUAGUGUUCGCGAGAUCAUUGUGAUUGGCCUGCCGUUUUGGGACAGGACCGCCCCAAUGCCGCUUGCUGAGGCAUCGGUAGUUAGCGUUUUAGCACUGUGUCGAUGUGUUUAACGUGAUCAUUUUCGUUUUCGGAAAAAAUUAUUACAUCAUCUACAUAGACAUAACAUAUUUUCCCAAUUUGUUCUCGUAGAACAUCGUCGAUUGCCCUUUGGAAAAUGCUCCCAGCAUUCUUUAGUCCAAAGGGUAACCGGCAAAACUCGUAUUUCCCUCCGUUAAUUGAAAACGAAGUUUUUUCACGGUCUUUUUCCGCCAUGUAUAUCUGGUGGUACCCUGAUUUUAGAUCUAGGGUAGUAAAAAAUCUUGCCUUUCCCAAGUUCGCUAGAAUCAUGGGUAUGCUCGGCAUAGGGUAUCGAUCGGCAAUUGUUCGCUCGUUCAGUUUUCUGAAGUCGAUUACCAGCCGCUUUUUCCUGUUGCCUUUGACGUCAGAUUUCUUUUUGUCUACAACCCAAAUUGGGCUGUUGUAUGGCGACCUAAAUGGCCUGAUUAUGCCGUCCUUCAGCAGUUCUUUGACUUCUUUGUUAACGAAGUCUGCUGCUCCCAUAGGGUAGGGGUAUAAUUUCGAGUAGACUGGUUCGUC